CUACGGGUUGCAGCAGUGAGGAAUAUUGCACAAUGGGGGGAACCCUGAUGCAGCAACGCCGCGUGGAGGAUGACGCAUUUCGGUGUGUAAACUCCUUUUAUAUGUCAAGAAAAUGACGGUAGCAUAUGAAUAAGCACCGGCUAACUCCGUGCCAGCAGCCGCGGUAAUACGGAGGGUGCAAGCGUUACUCGGAAUCACUGGGCGUAAAGGACGCGUAGGCGGGUUGGAAAGUCGGUGUGGAAAUCCUACAGCUUAACUGUAGAACUGCACUUGAAACUUCUAAUCUAGAGUAUGGGAGGGGGAGAUGGAAUUAGUGGUGUAGGGGUAAAAUCCGUAGAUAUCACUAGGAAUACCUAAAGCGAAGGCGAUCUCCUGGAACAUUACUGACGCUAAGGCGUGAAAGCGUGGGGAGCAAACAGGAUUAGAUACCCCUGUAGUC
RNAcentral lists this ribosomal RNA (439 nucleotides) under uncultured bacterium. RNAcentral's name for it is "partial 16S ribosomal RNA". It matches the Rfam family "Bacterial small subunit ribosomal RNA", at positions 339 to 795 of the family's 1533-position model. The record is from RNAcentral.